This is a non-coding RNA of Parelaphostrongylus tenuis, 72 nucleotides long. The record is from the annotation of a GenBank genome assembly. Lineage: Eukaryota; Metazoa; Nematoda; Chromadorea; Rhabditida; Metastrongylidae.
GAGACGGUAGUGGAGUGGUUAGCACGCGUCCGUGGAAAGGAUGAAACGCGCGUUGAAAUCCCGCCCGACUUG